GCCGGGUGUAGUGGUGCAUGCCUGUAAUCCCAGCUACUCGGGAGGCUGAGGCAGGAGAAUCGCUUGAACCCAGGAGGUGGAGGUUGCAGUGAGCUGAGAUUGUGCCACUGCAGUCCAGCCUGGGCAACAGAGUGAGACUCUGUCUCAC
Unclassified non-coding RNA from Papio anubis (olive baboon), 148 nucleotides. It matches the Rfam family "Metazoan signal recognition particle RNA". From Rfam's summary of the family: The signal recognition particle (SRP) is a universally conserved ribonucleoprotein. It is involved in the co-translational targeting of proteins to membranes. The record is from Ensembl. Lineage: Eukaryota; Metazoa; Chordata; Mammalia; Primates; Cercopithecidae.